AGUGAACGCUGGCGGUAGGCCUAACACAUGCAAGUCGAACGGCAGCACAGUAAGAGCUUGCUCUUACGGGUGGCGAGUGGCGGACGGGUGAGGAAUACAUCGGAAUCUACUUUUUCGUGGGGGAUAACGUAGGGAAACUUGCGCUAAUACCGCAUACGACCUACGGGUGAAAGCAGGGGAUCUUCGGACCUUGCGCGAUUGAAUGAGCCGAUGUCGGAUUAGCUAGUUGGCGGGGUAAAGGCCCACCAAGGCGACGAUCCGUAGCUGGUCUGAGAGGAUGAUCAGCCACACUGGAACUGAGACACGGUCCAGACUCCUACGGGAGGCAGCAGUGGGGAAUAUUGGACAAUGGGCGCAAGCCUGAUCCAGCCAUACCGCGUGGGUGAAGAAGGCCUUCGGGUUGUAAAGCCCUUUUGUUGGGAAAGAAAAGCAGCAGGUUAAUACCCCGCUGUUCUGACGGUACCCAAAGAAUAAGCACUGGCUAACUUCGUG
Molecule: ribosomal RNA, 492 nt
Filed under: uncultured bacterium
Lineage: Bacteria
Description: partial 16S ribosomal RNA
Rfam family: Bacterial small subunit ribosomal RNA
Source: RNAcentral